UGUUUCGGCUAGGGGGCCAUCCCGGCUUACCAACCCGAUGCAAACUGCGAAUACCGGAGAAUGUUAUCACGGGAGACACACGGCGGGUGCUAACGUCCGUCGUGAAGAGGGAAACAACCCAGACCGCCAGCUAAGGUCCCAAAGUCAUGGUUAAGUGGGAAACGAUGUGGGAAGGCCCAGACAGCCAGGAUGUUGGCUUAGAAGCAGCCAUCAUUUAAAGAAAGCGUAAUAGCUCACUGGUCGAGUCGGCCUGCGCGGAAGAUGUAACGGGGCUAAACCAUGCACCGAAGCUGCGGCAGCGACACUUUAGUGUUGUUGGGUAGGGGAGCGUUCUGUAAGCCGUUGAAGGUGUCCUGUGAGGGGUGCUGGAGGUAUCAGAAGUGCGAAUGCUGACAUAAGUAACGAUAAAGCGGGUGAAAAGCCCGCUCGCCGGAAGACCAAGGGUUCCUGUCCAACGUUAAUCGGGGCAGGGUGAGUCGACCCCUAAGGCGAGGCCGAAAGGCGUAGUCGAUGGGAAACGGGUUAAUAUUCCCGUACUUGGUGUUACUGCGAAGGGGGGACGGAGAAGGCUAUGUUGGCCGGGCGACGGUAGUCCCGGUUUAAGCGUGUAGGCUGGUUUUCCAGGCAAAUCCGGAAAAUCAAGGCUGAGGCGUGAUGACGAGGCACCACGGUGCUGAAGCAACAAAUGCCCUGCUUCCAGGAAAAGCCUCUAAGCAUCAGGUAACAUCAAAUCGUACCCCAAACCGACACAGGUGGUCAGGUAGAGAAUACCAAGGCGCUUGAGAGAACUCGGGUGAAGGAACUAGGCAAAAUGGUGCCGUAACUUCGGGAGAAGGCACGCUGACACGUAGGUGAAGUGAUUUACUCACGGAGCUGAAGUCAGUCGAAGAUACCAGCUGGCUGCAACUGUUUAUUAAAAACACAGCACUGUGCAAACACGAAAGUGGACGUAUACGGUGUGACGCCUGCCCGGUGCCGGAAGGUUAAUUGAUGGGGUCAGCGCAAGCGAAGCUCCUGAUCGAAGCCCCGGUAAACGGCGGCCGUAACUAUAACGGUCCUAAGGUAGCGAAAUUCCUUGUCGGGUAAGUUCCGACCUGCACGAAUGGCGUAAUGAUGGCCAGGCUGUCUCCACCCGAGACUCAGUGAAAUUGAACUCGCUGUGAAGAUGCAGUGUACCCGCGGCAAGACGGAAAGACCCCGUGAACCUUUACUAUAGCUUGACACUGAACAUUGAGCCUUGAUGUGUAGGAUAGGUGGGAGGCUUUGAAGCGUGGACGCCAGUCUGCGUGGAGCCGACCUUGAAAUACCACCCUUUAAUGUUUGAUGUUCUAACGUGGACCCGUAAUCCGGGUUGCGGACAGUGUCUGGUGGGUAGUUUGACUGGGGCGGUCUCCUCCUAAAGAGUAACGGAGGAGCACGAAGGUUGGCUAAUCCUGGUCGGACAUCAGGAGGUUAGUGCAAUGGCAUAAGCCAGCUUGACUGCGAGCGUGACGGCGCGAGCAGGUGCGAAAGCAGGUCAUAGUGAUCCGGUGGUUCUGAAUGGAAGGGCCAUCGCUCAACGGAUAAAAGGUACUCCGGGGAUAACAGGCUGAUACCGCCCAAGAGUUCAUAUCGACGGCGGUGUUUGGCACCUCGAUGUCGGCUCAUCACAUCCUGGGGCUGAAGUAGGUCCCAAGGGUAUGGCUGUUCGCCAUUUAAAGUGGUACGCGAGCUGGGUUUAGAACGUCGUGAGACAGUUCGGUCC
This 1744-nucleotide ribosomal RNA is filed under the name Salmonella enterica. Its description in RNAcentral is "partial 23S ribosomal RNA". It matches the Rfam family "Bacterial large subunit ribosomal RNA", at positions 911 to 2637 of the family's 2925-position model. The record is from RNAcentral. Lineage: Bacteria; Pseudomonadati; Pseudomonadota; Gammaproteobacteria; Enterobacterales; Enterobacteriaceae. RNAcentral also lists the same sequence under 5 other names.